GGUUGCGAUCAUACCAGCACUAAUGCACCGGAUCACAUCAGAACUCCGCAGUUAAGCGUGCUUGGGCGAGAGUAGUACUAGGAUGGGUGACCCCCUGGGAAGUCCUCGUGUUGCCACCC
RNAcentral lists this ribosomal RNA (119 nucleotides) under Helianthus annuus (common sunflower). Lineage: Eukaryota; Viridiplantae; Streptophyta; Magnoliopsida; Asterales; Asteraceae. The record is from RNAcentral.